RNAcentral lists this ribosomal RNA (467 nucleotides) under uncultured bacterium. Its description in RNAcentral is "bacterial SSU rRNA". It matches the Rfam family "Bacterial small subunit ribosomal RNA", at positions 28 to 507 of the family's 1533-position model. The record is from RNAcentral.
GACGAACGCUGGCGGCGUAGCUUAAAACAAUGCAAGUCGAACGGACUUCUCAUGAAGCUUGCGAUUGAGAAGUUAGUGGCGGACGGGUGAGUAACGCGUGGGCAACCUGCCCCUGAGCCCGGGAUAACAGUUCGAAAGGACUGCUAAGACCGGAUAUACUUGCGGUGAAGCAUUUCACUGCAAGGAAAGGGAACGCUCAGGGAUGGGCCCGCGUCCCAUUAGCUAGUUGGUGAGGUAACGGCCCACCAAGGCGACGAUGGGUAGCCGGCCUGAGAGGGUGAACGGCCACACUGGGACUGAGACACGGCCCAGACUCCUACGGGAGGCAGCAGUUGGGAAUCUUCGGCAAUGGGCGCAAGCCUGACCGAGCAACGCCGCGUGAGUGAUGAAGGUUUUCGGAUUGUAAAGCUCUGUCUUCCGGGACGAUAAUGACGGUACCGGAGGAGGAAGCCACGGCUAACUACGUG